UGGGGAAUAUUGGGCAAUGGGCGAAAGCCUGACCCAGCAACGCCGCGUGAGGGAAGAAGGUCUUCGGAUUGUAAACCUCUGUCCUUGGGGACGAAGGACGUGACGGUACCCAAGGAGGAAGCUCCGGCUAACUACGUGCCAGCAGCCGCGGUAAUACGUAGGGAGCGAGCGUUGUCCGGAAUUACUGGGCGUAAAGGGUGCGUAGGCGGCAUGGCAAGUCAGAUGUGAAAUCCCCGGGCUUAACCCGGGAGCUGCAUUUGAAACUGUCGUGCUUGAGUGCAGGAGAGGAAAGCGGAAUUCCUAGUGUAGCGGUGAAAUGCGUAGAUAUUAGGAGGAACACCAGUGGCGAAGGCGGCUUUCUGGACUGCAACUGACGCUGAGGCACGAAAGCGUGGGGAGCAAACAGG
Molecule: ribosomal RNA, 407 nt
Filed under: uncultured bacterium
Lineage: Bacteria
Description: bacterial SSU rRNA
Rfam family: Bacterial small subunit ribosomal RNA
Source: RNAcentral